This 1741-nucleotide long non-coding RNA is filed under the name Marmota monax (woodchuck). The record is from RNAcentral. Lineage: Eukaryota; Metazoa; Chordata; Mammalia; Rodentia; Sciuridae.
AUCAUGUCACCUGCAAAUAGUGAUAAUUUAAGUUCUUCUUUUCCUAUUUUUAUGCCUUUAAUUUCUUUCGUCUGUCUAAUUGCUCUGGCCAGUGUUUCGAGAACUAUGUUGAACAGAAGUCAGCCUGGCUCUUUCUUCUCUUUGCUUGGCUCGCCCUUGGACAGAUGCCUGAAACUAUUUUAGCUCUAUUCUUUGCCCUUGCUGAUAACAGCUGUUUCUCUAACCUACCUGUGCUAUGCUGCAUGUGUUGGAGAAUCCUUUCUGACCUGGCCCAGACUUCCUCAGUGGUACCUCCUCUAGGCACUUCUAGCCGCCCCCCAAUGAGAACAAUAACAACAGUGACAAGAUGUUUUCUUAAACAGAGAACCAGAAAAACAUGGUUUGAAUUGAACACCAUUCAACUCAAAUUUAAUUUCAGUUGAACUAAGUGGGUGGGUUAUAUUUCUUUUCUAUCUGAGCAUCAUCCUGGCUUCUACUUUGAUCAUCAAGUUAUAAGAUCAUAAAGGCAGAGUUCUGAAAAACCUGAACACCAUGACCUUGAAAGAUCCUCUACUCAGAUAAAUCCAGUUUAGAAUCUUCUGUGGCCUCUUGGGCCUUGAACUCAUAAGUCUUUGCAAAGAAUCAAGUGUCAUUUGGGAUAAACAUAUGGAAAUCGUAAUAUCGAAAGUGACAUUGAGCCAGGCAUGGUGGGGCUCACCAGUAAUUCUAGUGACUUGGGGAGGCGAAGGCAGGAGGACUACAAGUUCAAAGCCAGCUUCAAUAAUCUAGUGAGGCCCUAAGCGACUCAGCAAGACCUUGUCUCAAAAUAAAAAGGGCUGGAGAUGUGGCUGAGUGGUUAAAUGCCCCUGAUAUCAAAACCACAACAAAAAAGUGACAUUGAAAAACACUAGAAUGUCUUCAUGUGACAGUAAUUUUCCACUAGUAGAACUUACUGGCUGAAUCACCUGGUUUCUUGUAGUACUUCUUUCUUCAUAAGUCAAGUGCUCAAACCCGAAUUAAUGUAAUGUUUUAUGAAAAUUCCAUAUUUGGAGCAGGUUGGGUUUUUUUGGAAAGCAGACUCAGGGUGGAGCAAAGGAAGAAGAUGAACUGUAGUGAAAUGCUAAUGACAACAUCUAGCUGAUCCUGCUGGGGUUCAGGAGAUGGGGGGGGCUCUUUGGUUGUCCUGAAUUGGGGUGGGGGAGCCAGGCUGUUUCCUCCCACCAUUAGCCAAUCACUGGAUUCAAUCUGCCUGUGGUAGGGAACACAACUAGGGUAGGGAGAAGGUGGCUAUCUUUUGAAGGCAGAUCUCCAAGCGUUUGCCAGCUGAGGGAUGUCAAACAACAACUCUCCAAAUCUGGGGACAAUCAAUACUUCAGCACCUGAGAGGGCACUGGGGUGGUGUGACAAAAUUUUGCCAAUGCAAAAAUAUUUAUAGGAAAAAAAUUUAUGAUCUAUGGUAGAUCAAGAGCUUUGAAAGUCCUGAGUGUGCUCGGACAGGGAGAGUCUGGGCUAUAUGAGAUCCAUCAGUGGGUACAUGGCUGCUCACCAGGCAGGAAGGCUGUUUCCCUGUGUGGAUUUCUAUGGUUUGCACAAUUGUAGUUUUGGACUCUCAGUGCCUUGUGGACUACUGGGCACUCAGUAGUACUGAUUGGCCAACCCUGGAUAUACAGGCAAAUUACUGUAUUAGAGCCUUGUUAUAAUAUGAGCUACUCUUAGGCAAAAUUUAAUAAGAUGGGUUUAAAAUAAAGGUUCUUCUCUCUUU